Molecule: long non-coding RNA, 2003 nt
Filed under: Equus caballus (horse)
Lineage: Eukaryota; Metazoa; Chordata; Mammalia; Perissodactyla; Equidae
Description: lncRNA (ENSECAG00000043605.2)
Source: RNAcentral
CACUGAAGCUGGGACAUUACAGAGCCAGGUUAAAAGGUAGGUCCUCCUGACCCCAAAGCCUGUGCCCUUAACCUCUUGCCUUACUAUAUCUCAGGGCUUGUGUGCCACUCGGGACCUCUGACUCUUGAGUUACAAGAGGGAGGAAGGACAGCAAUCCUUAGCACCAGGAUCUGCUGAGGAAGAAGAGAGCAGAGUGUGUGAAGUGCCUCCUCAUGGUGCCAGGUGACAUGAUGCGUGUCCUUGUACUCCCACCAUCCUCAAUGCUGUCCCGCUCCACCCAUCCUUCGGGACUAUUUCAGCCCUUCCGGCCGAGUUCUUGCUUCUGACCCCACCACACCCUAAUUCUGCAGCUACCAGCAGACGGAUCCUCCUCCCACAGCCUGCUUUUGUCCCACCACCUCCCUGGGCAGGAAUCUUCACUAGCUCCCCAUUGAAUGACAUCCAAACCCAGCCUAGCACACAGGGAUCUCCACACCACGGCCUCAGCUGACCGACCCUUUUAAUUCCAUCGCUUAAAAACAAUCUUGCUGAAGCCUGGAAGCACCGCACUGCCUUUCAGUGGGUGGAUGGCUAAGUGACCUGUGUACAUCCAGACAACAGGAUGUGACUGAGCACUCAAAAGAAACGAGCUGCCAGGCCCUGAAAAGACGUGGAGGGAACUUAAAUGCACUUCCUAAGUGAAAGAAGCUGGUCUGAAAGGCUGCAUGCUGUGGGAUGCCACCUUUACGGCAUUCUGGAAAAUCAAAACUAUGGAGAUGAGUGUGCACCAGCAAGAGUGAACCCGAAUGUAAACCCCAGGUGACGCCGGGUGAUGAUGAUGUGUCCGCCUGGGCUCAUCCAGGGUGGGACGCCGAAAUAGCACGGCUUGACGAGCGGUGCUAGAUCUGCACCAGGGAUCCGAGCCUGCGAACCCAGGCCAUCGAGGCAGAGUGCACGAACUUAACCGCUUCGCCACUAGCUGGCCCUUGCAUGUUUAUUUUAAUCAGAGAGAGACUGUAGCACGGCCUCCGGGUGGGAGCCUCCUUUCCCCUCUGUGAUGCAUCCUGGGCUUCAAGGGGUUAGCCCUCCAGUGAGUGGAUGCCCCUAACUCGCUGAAUUACCUCCUCUCCCUGCAUUUAUGGUGUGCCUUCUGUUUACUGCCCUUUCUGUUUUCUUCUUUUCCUUGACCUUUCACUUUACGUUUCAUUCAUCAAGUUUUUAUAGCCUCUCUGCCCACUUCUCCUGAUUUCUUUAAAUCUGCUGGUUUGGAAGAUACAGAUGGUGUUCCUAUUCUUUUAGCAGGCACCCUUAACUUCCCCUUUUUAUUGUGUCAAAGUUUACAGAAAAAUGCAUAAAAUACACAGUGCCAGCUGACUCGUUUCUGGGAAGCAUGCCCCUCCAAACAGCCCUCCCUCCCCCUCACAGGCCUCCCUCCAUCACAGCCCUCCCUCCCCAUCACAGCCCUCUCCAUCACAGCCCUCCCUCCAUCACAGCCCUCCCUCCCCAUCACAGCCCUCCCUCCCCAGCACAGCCCUCCUUCCCCCUCAUGGUCUUCCCUCCCCAGAGCAGCCACUGUCCUGGCCGAUGGUCAUCAGAUCCCCACUUUGCCUUCUGCUUCCAUCACCUAUGUGUGUGUCCCUAAACGUUAUGGUUUAGUUUGUUUGUUUCCCAAUUGAUAUUGGUGGAACCGUAUGAUAUGCAUUUUUAUUUUUGGGGUGGGUGGACUGGCUCCUUUCACUCAACACUUUAUUAAAGAUUUAUCUACGUUGUGUGUAGCCAUAGGCUGUUCAUCUUCAUUACUGUAUAUUGUUCCUUUGAAUGAAUAGCCGCAAUUUAUUUAUCCAUUCCAAUGUUGAUGGACGUUUGUUUUUUCCCCCCAGACUUUGGAAAUUACCAGCAAUACUGCUAUAUAUACAUAUUUUACACGGAUUCUGGUGUUUGUGUUUCUGUCGGGUGUAUACUAGAUGUGGAAUUGUGUGUCAUAGGGUAUACAUAAUUGUAGCUCAUUGUGGUUUUAACUUGUA